UGCCUCGGGAAUUCAAACUUUAACCACUCAAAAUGUUCUACUUUUUACAUUAAAUAGCAAUAUUAUUAUCAACAUACUGUCACCUUAUUUGUCAUCUUAGAUCCCUUAUUAAGUGCCUUUUUUUCCUCCGCUACUUGACCACUCCCCCAAUCAAUAAUUAGUAGCCUAUAUGUUAUUAUACUUAUCUAGACCCAUAACCUACCGCAUUUCAAACCCCACCCAUGAAUUGUGUUAUGCCGCACAUGUCAAAGGCCAGCGCGCGCCAGUCUGUGCAUCUAAUGGAAGCCGAUGGUCCGAUUCAGCUCCAGGGAAGCAUAUUUAAUUUAAUCUUAGACAGUUAGUUUAAAGCUUAGUCUGUUGCCUCUGAGGAUAAGCUACAAGAUAACGGGAAUCGCGUCAUGGACGUUCAAGUUCGUUUUCAUUCUGUCGACCCAGGACUUGAACUUUCCCCAACGCGGACAGGGUCAUGUCUUCAGGAGAGUCAGCAGCCCCUGCUGGAUCCACAACCGCUAGAUGACCCGGACCAGGGAACCAGGACCAGGGAAGACGUUGGACGGCAUGUCCAGCUACAGCCUGAGCCCCAGCCACGACCCUCCCUGAGUCAUUCCUUAUCCUGGAGCUCCUCCCUGACGAGCAGCCUUCACACUGGAGACACUGGGACGGAUCAAGACUCAGGCAUGCACACCAGCAUCAGCGAGAUCUUAAAGGAGAAGACACUGAAGCCGUCCCGGCGCAGUCUGCCCUGCCUGGCCCAGAGUCAGACACACCCACAGAACCUCAACCAUUGCCUGUCCAUGCCCCUCAGCCCGGACGACAAGCCCGAGACACACCCACAGGACCGUCUGCAGUCAGAGCCUCAACUCCAGCACCCGACUGGACCUCGGCUGCAGCCCCAGAACCAGCUAGCCAAGCCCUGGCUACAGAACCAGGCCCUGGCCCCGGACCACUGUCAGCUUCAGGCCCAGAACCAGCCCCUAACCCACAGCCACAGCACCUCCUGCACUCUCAUUUCCUCCAAAAUAGCAGAGGCUGCGAAAGACCGUUAUGCCGAGGAGUCGGAGGUCAGCGCCGCGUACGAGGCAGGGAGGACGGAUGAGUCGGAGGUCAGCGCCGCGUACGAGGCAGGGAGGACGGAUGAGUCAGAGGUCAGCGCCGCGUAUGAAGCAGGGAGGACGGAUGAGUCGUUUCUCAUUCAGAAACCUGCCAGCCGAGCCAGAUUACAAGCACGCACAGACUCGCUUCAGGGAUCCAACCAGGGUCAACCGUCUGUCCUGCUGUUCCGAGAUGGGAAGAAGAGGAUCGAUUACAUCCUGGUCUACAAGAAGUCCAGUCCUCUGGUGGAGAAGAGAGUCACCUUCGAGAGGAACCUGAGGGCAGAGGGUCUCAUGCUGGAGAAAGAGCCCUCGUUGACCAACACUGACAUCAUGUUUGUGAAGAUCCACGCUCCCUGGGAAACGCUCUGCAAAUACGCUGAGCAGAUGAACAUCAGGAUGCCCUUCAGAAAGAAAUGCUAUUUUACGGAUUGGAAGAGUAAGACCAUGGGCAGCCGGUUCCAUUUGCGGUGUCGUCAGAUAAAGAGCUGGUUACCCAAGAACCCUAUGAAGCUGGACAAAGAGGCCUUACCCGAUCUGGAGGAGACAGACUGCUACACAGCCCCCUUCAGCAGGGCACGCAUGCACCAUUUUACCAUCAACAACAGAGAGACGUUCUUCUCCAACUCCACCAGAAGCAGAAUAGUCCAUCAUGUUCUCCAGCGCACCAAGUAUGAGGAUGGCAAGUCUAAGAUGGGUAUCAACAGGUUACUGGGCAAUGGGACGUAUGAGGCAGCAUUUCCUCCACAUGAGGGUGGAUACAACAGCAGACAUCCUAUUAAGACCCAUGGUGCCCAGAACCACAGACAUCUGCUGUACGAGAGAUGGGCUCGCUGGGGAAUGUGGUACAAAUACCAGCCUCUCGACCUUAUCAGGCGCUACUUUGGGGAGAAAAUCGGGCUGUACUUUGCUUGGCUGGGCUGGUACACGGGCAUGCUGAUACCUGCUGCGCUGGUCGGACUCUUGGUCUUCCUCUACGGGUUCAUCACCAUGGACACCAGCCAAGUCAGCAGGGAGAUCUGUGAGGCCAACACAACCAUUAUGUGUCCUAUGUGCGAGGAGAGCUGCCACCCCUGGAAACUCAGUGACAGCUGUGUCUAUGCAAAGGUGACCCAUCUCUUCGACAAUGGAGGAACUGUGUUCUUCGCUAUUUUCAUGGCUAUAUGGGCCACAGUGUUCUUGGAGUUCUGGAAGCGGAGGCGGGCGGAGCUGACCUAUGACUGGGAUCUCAUCGACUGGGAGGAGGAAGAGGAGAAUCUGCGGCCCCAGUUCGAAGCCAAGUACUCCCGUGUAGAGAGGGUGAACCCAAUCUCAGGCAAGCCGGAGCCCUUCCAGCCCUUUUCUGAUAAACUGAGCAGACUCAUGGUCUCUGUCUCUGGGAUCUUCUUCAUGAUCUCCCUGGUCCUGACGGCGGUGUUUGCGGUGGUGGUGUUCCGUCUCAUUGCCAUGGAGAAGUUUGCGUCAUUCGAAUGGGAGUUUGUGAAAAAGAACUGGCAGUUUGCCACGUCGGGAACUGGCGUCUGCAUCAACUUCAUGAUCAUCAUGUCCCUCAAUGUGGUAUAUGAAAAGGUGGCCUAUCUCCUCACCAAUCUAGAACACCCCCGGACCGAGUCAGAGUGGGAGAACAGCUUUGCUCUUAAGAUGUUUCUCUUCCAGUUUGUUAACUUGAACAGCUCCACCUUCUACAUUGCUUUCUUCCUGGGAAGGUUUGCCGGCAGACCAGGAAAAUAUAAUAAACUCUUCAAUAGGUGGAGACUGGAGGAGUGCCACCCGAGUGGCUGCCUCAUCGACCUCUGUCUGCAGAUGGGGGUUAUCAUGGUGCUGAAACAGAUCUGGAACAACUUCAUGGAGUUGGGUUAUCCGCUACUACAGAACUGGUGGUCUCGGCGGAAAAUCAAGCAAACUGAGAGGAAGGAAAGGAAAGGAGAGGGAGAGAAUGUGGAGAACAAAGUGCAGCUUCCUCAGUGGGACAAAGACUGGAACCUGCAGCCUAUGAACGCCCACGGACUAGUGGAUGAGUACCUGGAGAUGGUUCUGCAGUUUGGUUUCACCACCAUUUUCGUAGCUGCAUUCCCAUUGGCUCCUCUGCUUGCACUGCUCAACAACAUCAUCGAGAUCCGGCUGGAUGCCUACAAGUUCGUCACUCAGUGGAGGAGGCCAAUGCCUGCCCGAGCUACAGACAUAGGGAUCUGGCACGGCAUCCUGGAGGGCAUUGGCGUGUUGGCCGUCAUCACCAACGCCUUUGUCAUCGCCAUCACGUCCGACUACAUCCCCCGCUUCGUCUACGCCUUCAAAUACGGACCGUGCGUGGACAAGGGGUACCACCACGAGAAGUGCUUGCGCGGCUACAUGAACAGCAGCCUGUCUGUGUUUGACAUGGAGAAGAUCUGGAACGUCAGCGCCGGGCAGAGCAGGUACUGCCGUUACCGGGACUACAGAGCUCCGCCCUGGAGCCCCGUACCCUACGACUUCACGCUGCAGUUUUGGCACGUCCUGGCUGCAAGACUGGCCUUCAUCAUCGUCUUCGAGCACCUCGUCUUUGGCAUCAAGUCGUUUAUCGCGUAUCUAAUCCCGGACAUGCCGAAAGACCUGUGUGAUCGCAUGCGGCGGGAGAAGUACCUGAUGCAGGAGAUGAUGUACGAAGCGGAGCUGGAGCACCUCCAGCAGGAACGGAAGAAGAACGGCCGGAGAUGUCACCACGAGUGGCCUUAGUGUGGAUCGCGUAAUGUCCCCAUUAAUGCGUGCAGUCGUUACGUUGUGUCCCUGUUAUACGUACAGACGGACAUUCCCCCUUCCAGUCAAUGACCCGAGGCAGGUCGGACCGCCGUGACCGCACCGCUGGUGUCGCUGUGGUCCAAGGGGUGUCACUGUCUGUCCAUUUCUAUGUCAUUCUAUUUCUGUGUGGCAGCUAGCCUAGCAGCCUGCUAUUACGUUUCAUACUCUGGGUGCUGCUCGCCACGUGGCUGUAGUUUGGCCUGCGUUAAUGUCUGACAGUGUGCUACUGUAGUGUAGCACUAAUAGGGAUUAUUCUUGUUGCUUAAGUGAUGUCCCGUACUUGGCUACCAAAAAUAACAAUGGACAAUAAUAAUGAUAAUGUUUUUUUAUGCAAUGUGACUAAGUGGUAUUGCCCUAAAGCAUGAUGAUUUGUACAGUAAAUGCAUUUUGGUUUAUUUGUCCGGCAGCAACUGUAAAACACAUAUCCGGGGAGAUGUUACCAUUCAGAGGUGUGGCGGAGGAUUACUUUCCUCUAUUCGAAUCAUGUAAAAUGCAUGGUUAAGUUUGUUCUGUGUUCCUGGAUGGACAAUACCCAUGUCUUGAUGCAUCUGUUAAUGGUGUGUUUCUAGCCUGUGCGAGCUGUCCAUUGGACUUUUUUAUAAUAGUGCUGGUGUGGACUUUGGGCUCUGUUCAGGCCAACCUGUGGAAGUUCAGCGUUACAGCAUGACUGAAAUGCAAAAGCAGUAAUCAAGUGUUAGCCAAGCCUGCACCUACGGUUUUGCCGACACAGUCUGAGAUUACUGUUAAUUUUAACAUUCAGUCCAUUGGGCUUCAGCAACGCUGGUUGAAUACGGCUCUUUGUCUAAUCCGAGAUGUUAAUAUGUGAACUUUAUUGCUGUGCCUACUGUUUAGCAGUUAAACAAAACACAAAAUGUGUCACAAAUGUCACGCGUGCCUGUUUGUGCCGCAAAUGCUUUACAUUUUCUCCAGUAUGUUUUCCAUAGAACGAUUACACCUGAACUGUUUCCUCCCCAAUGCUUUUUAUUUGAGGAAUGAAAAGAAAAUAUAUAUAUAUUACUGUUCACUCUCUCUGUUGUCAGUGCUGCAGAGCAGAGAGAACUAAAACUCCACAGUAGAAUGUGAGUCCUGAUUCCACCCCAGUGAGAGUGCUGGCAGAUCUGAACUUCCACCCACAGAGACAAUCUGUUUCCCAUUGGUCACUGGAAGCACAGAGCCUGUUUUCUAUUGGCUGCUGGAAGGGCUGAGUGUGUCUCAAAUGGCACCUUGUCCCCUAUUCAGUCUACUACUUUUGACUAUGUUCCAUAGGUAUAUAGGCAAUAGGGGGCUUUUGGGGAGUCUUUUGAAACUGGGUCAGAUUAGACAUACCUGUGGCAUGGAUUUUCUGGGCGUUAAGAGACAUCCAAGCUCUUCACAUGACAAUGUCACACUAAACUGUUGAGUGGCGCUGAAUGCUGAACAUUUGAAAGGGACAAAAGGUCAAAUAACCCUGUAUUUCCUGCAGUCAAAAGCUCUGAAUAUGUAAAAUGACAAGUUCAUAUUUCAUAUUUGAGAGAUAAAGUCUACAGAAAACUUGUAAUGUUGCACUUAGUGAGUCUUACAGUUAUUAAGAUCAAGCAUUUUGUGAACUGACCGACAAACAUACCUUGGUACCAUCAUGGUAUCAGCUAAUGCAGAUCCAAAGAAACUAAGCAAAACAUCUGUGAAGUUAUUACCAGUGUGAUCAAAUACACUUUAUACAUAUUUAUAUGUUCAGAUAUCCAAUCAGAAAUUCUUUCUCAUUUCCGCAUGCUCACAUUUCCACUGUCAUUUUCGUCCAUUUAGAUGUCCAAUCACACUUUCUCUCUCAUUUCGGCAUUUUUAGAUAUCCAAUGACACACUUUAGUUUUGACAUUGAAUGUUUGAAGGUACAGAAUAUAUGAUAGAUUUAGAAAAUUAUUAUUAGUUGAAAAAUAACUAUAGCGCCAGAGAAACAUAAAAGUUUUCAUUCUGGCAUCGGACAGUUAACCAGUGGGGCUGCAUUGUGUGUGGUACAUGGGCCAACAAAGCGCCAGUGUUAUAAGGCAUCGUGUGGUAUAUGGGCUAACAAAACGCUGGUGUUAUAAGGCUUCGUGUGUGGUAUAUGGGCCAACAAAACGCCUGUGUUAUAAGGCAUCAUGUGGUAUUUGGGCCAACAAAACGCUGGUGUUAUAAGGCAUCGUGUGGUAUAUGGGCCAACAAAACGCCGGUGUUAUAAGGCAUUGUGUGUGGUAUUUGGGCCAACAAAACGCUGGUGUUAUAAGGCUUUGUGUGUGGUAUAUGGGCCAACAAAACGCCUGUGUUAUAAGGCAUCGUGUGUGGUAUAUGGGCCAACAAAACGCUGGUGUUAUAAGGCAUCGUGUGGUAUAUGGGCCAACAAAACGCCGGUGUUAUAAGGCAUUGUGUGUGGUAUUUGGGCCAACAAAACGCUGGUGUUAUAAGGCUUUGUGUGUGGUAUAUGGGCCAACAAAACGCCUGUGUUAUAAGGCAUCGUGUGUGGUAUAUGGGCCAACAAAACGCUGGUGUUAUAAGGCAUCGUGUGGUAUAUGGGCCAACAAAACGCCGGUGUUAUAAGGCAAGACACAACACGGAGGCACCUGAUGCCGGCCCUGGCCGUGGAAUAUUGGCCAUAUACUGCAAUAAACCGGUUACCAAUGCAAUUAGAGUAGUAGACAAUUUUUCUUGCCACACCUAUUGCAUACAUUCUCAUAUACCAUGCCUUUCAGACAGUCAGCAUUCAGGGUUCGAACCACCUGGUUUAAAUUUGGAGAUAUGCUGAAUGAUAGAUAGACCUCUGUUUACAUUAGGCCUGGGAUAGGUAUUUAAGGCUUAAAUAAAUAACAAGCACAUUAUCAUUACAUUCCUAAAGGCCCAGAUUCCAACCACAUCCAGGACCAGGAUUUAUAGCACUUCUGUGGUACUUUAGGAACUUAAGUGAAGCAGAGAACUGGAACGUCUGCAUUAUUAGUUUGAAGGUCACACAAUUCAUCUGUGGUUUUGUAGCCAUACUCCUCUAUCUGUGCAUACCUUCGAGUCUGAUAAUUACAGACAGUGGUUGUUGUGGUCUCAGUAAUUGGCUUGCCAACCGUAUUUUACUUGUUUCAAAAGGAUAUUCCAUUAACCAUUCCAAUACGGAUUUCAGGAAGGGUUUGGAAAUCUGUGUUGAAGUUUACUGUAAUUUUGCAAGCCCAUUUUGUUUUCACUUUUACUGUAUAUUAUUUAACGUCUUAUUUUAUGUACAUUAACAUUUAACUGCUACAAUUUUACUUUGGUACUGAAUAUACAUUUGAGCAUACUUUCUAUAAACCUUUUUUCCAUUUUUGUUGCGAUGUAUUAUUUGUUAUGUGUAACAAUUUAGAAAGGAUUCUGAACGCUAUCGACCAGCAUGACAUUCACCACUCAGUCUCGCCUCAUGGGCUUCGCUCCUUCAAGUUUUCACAUUUCUAUUGAUGUAAAACUCAUGCUUUUCCUCAGGUGUCUUCUGAAUGUUUGGCAAUUGAUUUCACUUUUUAUCAUAUUUUCUUAGAUGCAAUGAAAAGGUAUUCUUCUGCUUUAAAAAUAUAUAUUUUCGCACUCUUGCAUUUGCAUGACAAUUACUCACCAACACUCAUGAAAUGAUUAAGCACCUUAAAUUGAAAAGCAUGAAUGUUAAUUUAUUGUAAGGCACACAUACCAGAGUUGAUAUUAUUGUGAGUAUCAGAAAAAAUCAGUACACCCAUGUACAACUAGAAAUAUAUUUAUAUUUUUUAUUUUAAACAUACCACUGUUGCUAUUGUCAUAAUAAAAUGUCAGAAUAUAACAUAUCAGUUAAGAACUUUUUUGCUAAAUGUUUGUUUGUUUCCUCAUAUAAGUUCAGGCAAUUGAGAAGGGUUUGGUUUUGAGCUGGCAGUUCAAGCUCUGAAAACAUCUCUUCAAUGUAAUGUCACUGGAAAUCUAUGCAUGUUGUAAACUCGACUACAGCCUCUCUGUUGAACAGUUUUUGGAGCUGGUAUGAAUUUAUUAUUAGUGCACUUUUGGUGUUGAGUAUGCAUGACUAACGCCAGCUACUUCAACUAGAGCUUACCUGUGUUGUCAAUGAUAGUGUAUUUGAAAAACAAUGUGUCUGUUCUGUCACAAAGAAUAUACUUUUCUUAUUUCAUCAUGAUUGAUCACACAGUUCAUGUCUCUCGUCAAGAAAGCCAUUGCUUGAUUGAAUCCCUGGUUGAUAUACAAGGCUGAUUAUACUUUCCUCCAAAGUAUUUAGGCAUUUGUGAUUGAGAGAAUCUCGCAUUGUGUUUUUUAUGUCAUAGCCACAGAGGUGUUUCACAAACACUGGGACCUGGACUGGUAGUGGUGCAGACACAGGAAACCUUGAAGCUAAAGAUUCGACUCUGGCUGCAAAAUAUAAUAUUGUUUUGUUUAUCUAUAUGAAAAAUAUAAUUAUAUUAUAAUAUAUAUUAUUCUUGCAAUGUUUGAUGAGGACACACGGUAAAACUAGUCAGAGUGCCUGUCUGUUCUAUAAUGUGAUCUCCUUUGUUAAACAUUGGCAUGGCAAAUCCAUAGUGAUUUGGAAAGGCAGUCAAAACUGGCGCCAAGGCCAUAGUAGACCAUAUUUUUAUAAUCUAUACAAGUCAUCAGUUGCUCUAACAUGAGGUGUAUCAAUACUGAACAUUGUUUUCACCUUAUCACUGUUUUAAAUAUGGAAACGUACCCAAAUAUGUAAUAAGGAGCAAACGAAAUAUCAUGUGACGUAAUUAAGGAUUUUGAUUUCAGUUCUUCUGUAAUAAAUCAUGGAUUUCAUCUUUGA
This is an RNA transcript of Esox lucius (northern pike), 8628 nucleotides long. It is a transcript of the gene named anoctamin 3, with no coding region annotated. The record is from RefSeq and is a predicted model, not a curated record. The transcript has 28 exons. Lineage: Eukaryota; Metazoa; Chordata; Actinopteri; Esociformes; Esocidae.